Molecule: ribosomal RNA, 391 nt
Filed under: Triticum aestivum (bread wheat)
Lineage: Eukaryota; Viridiplantae; Streptophyta; Magnoliopsida; Poales; Poaceae
Description: partial small subunit ribosomal RNA
Source: RNAcentral
CAAGCUUUUCCUCGCGCGAUGGCAUCAGGCGCACGGAGGGAGCUCUUCUCCGUCGAUGUGGUGAACAACGACCGUGAUCUCCGUUCCACGGCGUCACCGGCUAGCAAGGCCGAGACAAGCAUCGUAAGGAUCCAGUUAGAAUGAUGACUGAUAUCCUGUUAGAGCAUCUUGGGCUUCACAAGGCCAUCUGAGACUCGGGCUCAAUGAGAACACGAUGAGGUACAUGGAGAACUCCAGAAACACUAUAGUGAAGGAUCUAAACUAUGACAGGCUGAGCAGAAUGCAGAAAGACUUUUGCUUAUCUGAGACUCGGGAUCGAUGAGGCAUUUGACAUGAUAAACAAGUGCCAAAGGUUACUUGUAUGAUCUGAGAUACAUGAGCUCCUUCUCAG